This 87-nucleotide transfer RNA is filed under the name Acidimicrobiaceae bacterium. RNAcentral's name for it is "tRNA-Leu". It matches the Rfam family "tRNA". Rfam says of the family: Transfer RNA (tRNA) molecules are approximately 80 nucleotides in length. The record is from RNAcentral. RNAcentral also lists the same sequence under 3 other names. Lineage: Bacteria; Bacillati; Actinomycetota; Acidimicrobiia; Acidimicrobiales; Acidimicrobiaceae.
GCGCGAGUGGCGGAACUGGCAGACGCGCAGGCUUCAGGUGCCUGUGCCCGCAAGGGUGUGAGGGUUCAAGUCCCUCCUCGCGCACCA